GUGCUCACUUCGGCAGCACAUAUACUAAAAUUGGAAUGAUACAGAGAAGAUUAGCAUGGCCCCUGUGCAAGGAUGGCAUGCAAAUUCAUGAAGCAUUCAUAUUUUUU
Small nuclear RNA from Oryctolagus cuniculus (rabbit), 107 nucleotides. NCBI's taxonomy places the organism in Eukaryota, Metazoa, Chordata, Mammalia, Lagomorpha, Leporidae. The record is from Ensembl.